RNAcentral lists this long non-coding RNA (713 nucleotides) under Gallus gallus (chicken). RNAcentral describes it as "lncRNA (ENSGALG00010007089.1)". Lineage: Eukaryota; Metazoa; Chordata; Aves; Galliformes; Phasianidae. The record is from RNAcentral.
UUAAAAAAUAAAUAAUAAUUUUGAUUUAAAUUAUAUAGUCAUACUCAAAACCUAGGUCACCAUAUUUCCUUUAAAAUGGUUUUUGAGGUCUUUUCUGAAAAUUGCACAGUUCUUUUUUGUUCCACCUUCUUUAUAUAGUCAACUGCAAUAUAACACAAAACGUUGUGUAUCACAGACUGUCUUCAUAUUGAUAUGGCAUACAUAUCCUUUAUUUUCUUUUGUAGUUGAUCAGUCUGUUUCUGUCUCUUAUUGUUGUUGUUGGUUUUUUUUAUGUGACACCUCUGAGAUGGUACCCAUAGCAACAUCCACUAGCACAGGUGGAAUGUGGAGUUCUUCAGACAGGAAUAUACUCCCAGUGAAACUUCUGAAGAAUGAUUAUCUUCCCUCUCCUUUUGGGCCAAGCUGAGAGAAGAAAAGCAAGUAGGAUGCGGAUGUUUUUGUUUGUACAUGACCGCUGGAUGUAUCCAGUCUCUGAUGAAAUUCUUCUAGUGAGUAUCCCAAAAUAAUUUUGCUAUCACAUUUCCAGAUUCUUUUUAUCUUAAUUAUUUCAGACAAUGUCUUUCACUAAUCUGGAAUUUAUUGCUUAAAUCUAUUGUACCGUUAUGAUUUUAUUAUUAAUGUUUCACCUAUAAAAAUGAUAUAAAUACAAAGCCAUCUUUUAUUAUUCACAUACAUCUUCCAUUAAUUCUACCAAGGUACGGAACCUGACCUUC